Molecule: ribosomal RNA, 482 nt
Filed under: uncultured bacterium
Lineage: Bacteria
Description: partial 16S ribosomal RNA
Rfam family: Bacterial small subunit ribosomal RNA
Source: RNAcentral
AUUGAACGCUGGCGGCAGGCCUAACACAUGCAAGUCGAGCGGAUGAAGGGAGCUUGCUCCUGGAUUCAGCGGCGGACGGGUGAGUAAUGCCUAGGAAUCUGCCUGGUAGUGGGGGAUAACGUCCGGAAACGGGCGCUAAUACCGCAUACGUCCUGAGGGAGAAAGUGGGGGAGCUUCGGACCUCACGCUAUCAGAUGAGCCUAGGUCGGAUUAGCUAGUUGGUGGGGUAAAGGCCUACCAAGGCGACGAUCCGUAACUGGUCUGAGAGGAUGAUCAGUCACACUGGAACUGAGACACGGUCCAGACUCCUACGGGAGGCAGCAGUGGGGAAUUUUGGACAAUGGGCGAAAGCCUGAUCCAGCCAUGCCGCGUGUGUGAAGAAGGUCUUCGGAUUGUAAAGCACUUUAAGUUGGGAGGAAGGGCAGUAAGUUAAUACCUUGCUGUUUUGACGUUACCAACAGAAUAAGCACCGGCUAACUUCG